GCAUUCACUUCGUAAUUAGUUUUUAGCUUAGCGGUUUCUGCUCUGUAUAUAAAGGAUUACCUGAAGAAUGAACAUGGGUUGAUAACAUCCGAAGCGGGCGCGCAGCGGCGCUGUGUUUUGAGCAGGAAGACGAAGAGGAAAAACCCCCAGCCGGAAUCCACGGCGCAGUGAGGAUUUCCAUGAUAACAAUGGCUGAUCGAUCAUUCUUAUUAGCAACAGACAAAGAGUAUCAGAGACUGAGAGAACGAUGAGAUCCUGGCUGUCUGAGAGGCAGAUACUCAGAGAGCCAAGCAGGGGAAUGGCAGCGCUGCACAGCUGCAGGGAGUCGAUCGCGGGACGCUCGCUCGUCCAGACCGGCUCACACCGACCCCUGAUGACAUCACAGCCCGCAGGCGUAACCAUGGAAACGGCAUGAUGUCAGGGCCAGACGUCCUUCUGUAAUCUGAUUGGUUGUCGGGCCCCGAGGCCACAGCAGACAGAACCGACCAAUCAGAGCUCAUCGAUUAGUGCUAACGAUGUUAGCGCUAGCAGGAAGGUCACUGGUUGCCAGCGGCAACGCUCACUGCCUGCUUCCUGUCCGAGUUUUACCUCCACAGAGCCACAGGUUCUGCUGCCUGGGCCAGAACCAGAACCAGAACCAGGUCUGCUUUAUUCCCAAUCUGCUUCAAAGAUCUUCUCUACAGACAGACCUCUUGGCCUUUAGCAG
Long non-coding RNA from Poecilia latipinna (sailfin molly), 706 nucleotides. RefSeq lists it as uncharacterized. The transcript is spliced from 2 exons. NCBI's taxonomy places the organism in Eukaryota, Metazoa, Chordata, Actinopteri, Cyprinodontiformes, Poeciliidae. The record is from RefSeq and is a predicted model, not a curated record.